AUGGGGAAGAUGGUGUUGGUGGGCAAGUGCUGGCAGGAGUCGAAGCUGCUGUGGCACAUCGCGUUCCCGGCGAUCCUCACCGCCGUGUUCCAGUUCUCCAUCAACUUCGUCACCGUCGGCUUCGUCGGCCACAUCGGCGUGGUCGAGCUUGCCGCCAUCACGGUCGCCCAGAACGUCGUUGAGGGCUUCGCCUACGGUGUCCUGCUUGGCAUGGGAAGCGCGCUAGAGACACUGUGCGGGCAGGCGGUGGGUGCGGGGCAGGUGGACAUGUUGGGCAUCUACAUACAGCGCUCCUGGAUCAUCUGCGGCGCCACCGCGCUGGCCCUCGUGCCAACCUACGUUUUCACGGCGCCCAUCCUACGGGCCCUCCACCAGCCUGCCGCCAUCUCCGCCGUCGCCGGCCGGUACACACGAUGGGUCGUCCCGCAGCUGUUCGCCUACGCCGCCAACUUCCCGCUGCAGAAGUUCUUACAGGCGCAAAGCAAGGUCUGGGCCAUGACCUUCAUUUCUGGCGUGGGGCUCGCCCUCCACGUCGCGCUCAACUACGUCUUCGUCACGCGCCUCGGUCAUGGCCUAUUCGGAGCCGCCAUGAUCGGGAACGUCACCUGGUGGAUCAUCAUCCUCGCGCAGUUCACCUACCUCGUCUCGGGCUGCUUCCCGGAGGCGUGGAAGGGGUUCUCGAUGCUCGCCUUCAACAACAUCGCCGCCUUCGUCAAGCUGUCCCUCGCCUCCGCCGCCAUGCUCUGCUUGGAGGUCUGGUACUACACUGCAGUGCUCAUCCUUGUGGGUCUCCUGAAGAAUGCUCAACUCGAGGUUGACAUCAUGUCAGUCUGCAUCAACUACCAGCUCUGGGCCGUGAUGGUUGCACUAGGCCUAAAUGGAGCAGUGAGCGUUAGGGUGUCGAAUGAGCUGGGUGCGAACAAGCCAAAGGCGGCCAGGUUCUCGGUGAUCAUUGCGGUGUCAACGUCCGCCGCCAUCGGUGCAGUCUUCCUGGCCGUGUUCCUCGCCUGGAGGACUGAGCUGCCGCGGUUCUUCAGCGACAACGAGGAGGUGGUGAGCGAGGCUGCCAAGCUCGGCUACCUUCUUGCAGCAACCAUCUUCCUCAACAGCAUCCAGCCUGUGCUCACAGGUGUGGUGAUAGGAGCAGGGUGGCAGACGCUUGUUGCCUUCAUAAACAUUGGAUGCUACUACUUGGUUGGCAUCCCACUGGGAUUCCUCUUUGGCUUCAAGCUUAAACUUGGCGCACUGGGAAUUUGGGCGGGCAUGUCCAUUGGCACGCUGCUGCAGACUGUUGUACUUCUCAUAAUUUGCUUCAGAACCAAGUGGAAGAAACAGGCUAUGUUGGCCGAAGGGAGGAUAAGGGAGUGGGGAGGAAGCAGCGAAACAUUGCCGGCGGCGACAAACGGUGGCAUCGAUAGAUGA
This 1422-nucleotide ribosomal RNA is filed under the name Triticum aestivum (bread wheat). RNAcentral describes it as "partial small subunit ribosomal RNA". The record is from RNAcentral. Lineage: Eukaryota; Viridiplantae; Streptophyta; Magnoliopsida; Poales; Poaceae.